GGCAAGGUGGCCGAGUUGGUCUAUGGCGCAGGAUUAAGGUUCCUGUGGAGCAAUCCGCGUGGGUUCGAAUCCCACCCUUGUCA
RNAcentral lists this transfer RNA (83 nucleotides) under Niveomyces insectorum RCEF 264. RNAcentral's name for it is "Sporothrix insectorum RCEF 264 tRNA". It matches the Rfam family "tRNA". Rfam says of the family: Transfer RNA (tRNA) molecules are approximately 80 nucleotides in length. Their secondary structure includes four short double-helical elements and three loops (D, anti-codon, and T loops). Lineage: Eukaryota; Fungi; Ascomycota; Sordariomycetes; Hypocreales; Cordycipitaceae. The record is from Rfam by way of RNAcentral.